This 84-nucleotide transfer RNA is filed under the name Fidelibacterota bacterium. RNAcentral's name for it is "tRNA-Leu". It matches the Rfam family "tRNA". Rfam says of the family: Transfer RNA (tRNA) molecules are approximately 80 nucleotides in length. Their secondary structure includes four short double-helical elements and three loops (D, anti-codon, and T loops). Further hydrogen bonds mediate the characteristic L-shaped molecular structure. tRNAs have two regions of fundamental functional importance: the anti-codon, which is responsible for specific mRNA codon recognition, and the 3' end, to which the tRNAs corresponding amino acid is attached (by aminoacyl-tRNA synthetases). tRNAs cope with the degeneracy of the genetic code in two manners: having more than one tRNA (with a specific anti-codon) for a particular amino acid; and 'wobble' base-pairing, i.e. permitting non-standard base-pairing at the 3rd anti-codon position. The record is from RNAcentral. Lineage: Bacteria; Pseudomonadati; Fidelibacterota. RNAcentral also lists the same sequence under 3 other names.
GCCGCGGUGGUGAAAUUGGUAGACACGCAAGGUUCAGGACCUUGUGGGCGCGAGCCUGUGCGAGUUCGAGUCUCGCCCGCGGCA